Molecule: ribosomal RNA, 162 nt
Filed under: Saposhnikovia divaricata
Lineage: Eukaryota; Viridiplantae; Streptophyta; Magnoliopsida; Apiales; Apiaceae
Description: 5.8S ribosomal RNA
Rfam family: 5.8S ribosomal RNA
About the family: 5.8S ribosomal RNA (5.8S rRNA) is a component of the large subunit of the eukaryotic ribosome. It is transcribed by RNA polymerase I as part of the 45S precursor that also contains 18S and 28S rRNA.
Source: RNAcentral
AACGACUCUCGACAACGGAUAUCUCGGCUCUCGCAUCGAUGAAGAACGUAGCGAAAUGCGAUACUUGGUGUGAAUUGCAGAAUCCCGUGAACCGUCGAGUCUUUGAACGCAAGUUGCGCCCGAAGCCACUAGGCUGAGGGCACGUCUGCCUGGGUGUCACGC